GGGUGUGAUUUUAUGUUGUGCUCUGCAAAGGCGCGGGAGAUCUUUGUUGGUCCACACUCU
Molecule: transfer RNA, 60 nt
Filed under: Opisthorchis felineus
Lineage: Eukaryota; Metazoa; Platyhelminthes; Trematoda; Opisthorchiida; Opisthorchiidae
Description: tRNA-Cys
Source: RNAcentral